RNAcentral lists this long non-coding RNA (32566 nucleotides) under Volvox carteri. Its description in RNAcentral is "long non-coding RNA (VCAR_LNC000187)". Lineage: Eukaryota; Viridiplantae; Chlorophyta; Chlorophyceae; Chlamydomonadales; Volvocaceae. The record is from RNAcentral.
AGGGCAUAUGUACUGAACGCGUGUCCCACGUACAAAUUCCGUUUAGGUCAAGUUCCUGCCGUCCAAUGGGCGGGAUGUCACGUCAUAUGACGUGCUAAUAGACACAGGAAAUGCGGAUGGAUCACGGGCGCUGCAGAGCCCACAACGGAGACCGAAGCCGCAGAAGCUUCCCCAUCGGGGUCUGAUUAAAUGGAUUUCCGCUUCAUUUCAUUUUGUACAUCAUUUGCACAACAGUAAAUCCACAACGCCAUGUCACAAACGCAAUCCCAAGAUCCCGAAGUGCGUUCCUCUUUCCGUUCCUCUGGAUAGUUUACCUGCAUGUCUGUCUGUCUGACUUCCUGUCUGUCGGUCGCCUAAAACGUUCCCGCCAAGUCCCAACGGUACGGGUACCCUUCACAUCGCCGCGUACGGCAUCCCUACAGUCGUACUGCGCCUGAUGCCUUGACUCUUAACUUGGUUUCGCCCUGACUCUUAACCACGCUUCACAGCCAAAGAAGAAUUCGACUUGGCUCAAAAAUUGAAGAACCUGCCCUCCGUCUCUUUCCUCAUGAGGCUCAUGUACUCCUCACACCGCACAGAGGUCAGGUUAGGUCAGGUCGAGAGACACGCGCAUGAGCCGAACCCGCCACAACACCUUCAUCUGAACGGGUGGAGGUGUCGGCUCUCCCCCACCAUCACCAUCUUCGUCCCGCCUCUAUGCCAAACAUGAGCAGUGAAGUGAAGCGGGGCCUUUUCACAGCGACCCAAACACUGUUCCGCUAGUGUUGGUCUGCCGCAAAUUUGUCCAUGUCUCUACCUGGUUCCGAGACCUUAUAUUAUGACACAGCAUCAGUAUAAGAAAUGAUCCUUGGUCGCGCUACGCGUAAAACCGCCCCGACUGCUUCACUAAUCACCAUCAAAGCGCUUCUAUCCACAUGCCGCAUGUCUGGUCUGGGUUGACACUACUGCAAUUAGCGGUUUAAGGUCCUGGGUUCGAUUCCUGGCGAGACCCCCGAAUUAGUCGGGAGCGCGAGAUUAUGGCUAGCUGCUGAGAUGUGGAGUUGAGGUCACAGUUGAUGGACCAGAUUCGCACGCUGGAUUGGUGGCGAUUGCCGAACCCUCCGUCUCUCCGGGUGUUCGGGUGAAUGGAUGAGGAGGGGUCCCUGAAGGCUGGAUCCGCCGCCUUGGACUUACAGUUCGUAUGGCGAAGACAGUGUGGUAGUGGUGGAUGGUGCUAUAAGGUGAUAAAUGAUCGUAGAACUGACAAUGUGAUAAAGCGGCCCAGAAGCCUCCCACUCUGUAACAUUACAUUACAUUACAUUACAUGCCGCAUGUAACAUUAGACACGCGCUUUUUGUCAAAUGGUGGUAUAACAUACAACCAGAAAAAUUGAGCGCAUGCAACUGCAAAUCGCUAUGUACACAUCCCUGCACGGGUUGCGUGGGCUCCGCAUGCCCGAGACGACGGCGCCCAAUCCCUGCUUUGCUGCGGAUGUGCUCACCGCAACCCGCAAGCCACGCCAGCAGCUGCAAAUGCUGUAUAAUAAAAUAUAGAUCAUUGAUAAUAAAAAAUAACAACGAAAAAUGUUAAAUGAUCACCGGCAAAGGUCCAUUGGGCUGACGUACGCGUUGGGCAUCGUACGGCCAGCCGCGCCCAGCCCGCGUCCGUCCGACGAGAAGCGCUGCCUGUGCAUCCCUGUGUAUGUCCUGCAGCAGUACGACACAACAGAGUGCAGCAGGUUUGCAGCUUUGGACCUCCGUAUGGCUACGGACAACAAGGAAAACCCUGCCCAUCGGAAUACAACACGUGGGAUGCACCGUUGCCGUACUUUACUUACGAUGGGUCAUUCAGGCGGUCAAAGAUGCUCCGCCGGUCCCCAACCUCACUUGCGCGCCCCGGUCGCGGCUGGGAGUUGUUUCCGCUGGAGUGGGCGGCAGGGGCUCCGGAGGCUGAGGAUCGCAUCGCCCCGCGGCCCACGGAGGAGGGGCGCGGAGAGGGCGUGCUGGGCGCGGGUGGCGCCCCAGGCGAGGACACGCUGAGCGCGGGGCCUUGAGGUGACGAAGCGCCGGGAGAGGACAGCGGUGCGGCUCCAGAACCACCGUCAUUACUCGGACUGCGAUGAUAGAGCACCAGCGAUGCGCCGCGGCCUGAUCGGUAACCUAAUCGCGAUUGCGGUUGCAAGAACAACAGGGCGGCGGCGGCGACGACGGCGGCAGGAGUGUAAAGCGGGCACGAGAGCAGACGUGGUCAUGAGAUCUGUUCAAUUGGACUUUUACAGGACGUCCUCACAGUCCACGGGGGAGGGCCUUCCAGUGACGUGGAGGGGCUGGGUGUGGGAGGCCAAUUUGGAGGUUGAUGGUGUGUGAAGGUACGGCAACAAUCCGGGAGAAGAACAUGGAGUGGGGUUGGAGCGGUCGGGGCUCGAGAGCAUGACUCUGGGCUAAGGCAUGGCGCAUGGGCCACCAUCUAACUUGGAUGCUUCAAUGAAUGGUUGCAGACCCGCGCUCCAGGUGCACGAGGAUGGGUCAAGAGCCGUAUCGGAAGUAAAUUCCGAUAAGCCCUGGUACGGUACGCAGCGCACCUGUCCCUGAGGCGACAUGGAGGUUGGGUCGGGUGAUCUGGCUCAGGUCUGCCACUGCACUGCCUGGGGCACCCGCGAUGAAGCCUGAGCCUUUGGAGAUACGGUCGCGACCUGUGCAAUCGGACGACGGAAGGGCAGGUAGUUAAUUAACGCAGAUGGAACAGAGUAGUUAGAUAUUUGCAAAGCGCAGGUUUAAAAUUUACCUGAAAGUCCGCGGCCGUUGCCGUUUUCAUCAAAACGGUGCUUGUGUGUGCCGGUGUACACUGCGUAAGGCAAAGAGUUUUACCGGCGAAUUGUUUAUCGGGAUAACUAAGGUCGUGGUGCUGACAGACAGCAGCAAGAGCAUAUUGCGGCAUAGCGGAUCCUGAGGGGCGUGAGAAAAGUAGCGACAUGUUGAAUGCUCGCGGCAGGUGCUACACCCAGCCGCUGGCUGACGAGACGUAUCGCCUUGAGAUUUAGGGAUAGUGACGAAGCUUAGGUGCUUUUACGCGGAAUGGGGAUAGUGUCGAGGACUUUAGUAAGACAUCCGACUCGCGAGGAACCUGGACGAAGCACACCAGCACUUCGCAUCCUGGUAAAGGAAGACUUACAUGAAGAAUCCGUCAGCCUGUCGAAAAUGCUUGCAUGUCGCGAUUUCGGCAUCAUUUUUGGGUAGUUUAGUCUAGCCAAUGGCCUACCACUUUCAGAAAAGUUCAAAGGUCUGAUACAGCCUCAGAGCUUGUGGUGAGAUGGUGCAAUUUAUUCGGAGAUAUGUGUGUAUAAGGACGCUCCCAGUUGUUAUACGGCUCUAUCUAAGUGAGUAAGGCAAAGGGCUAAAUAAAUUUAUUCCGUACAAAACAAUGCUCGUACUAAUACCAACCACCGCUGAUGAAGCGGCAGUCGCAGCAAUGGCAAUGUCAGCUCCGAAGUCUUUGAAAACCUUCUGUUUUUGGCAAGAAUGUGUUUACAAGAAAACAAGUACCACAAGUAAACACAUGUCAGAAGAGGGCCGGGCGAGCUGCAAACGACCUUCGUCUGAACUACAGCGGAAGCGGCCGACGGCCCCAUAUCAGUCUGCCAGCGAGUAAAACUAAUCUUAACAUGCAAGAAUGCACCCAUUCAACCGGUUAGGCGUACAACAACGUCCGGCCUUCCCUCAAGUUUCUGCGUCUGCCCUGCUGAAAUGACCUUGCCGUUGCAAGCAAGAGUGCGCUCCUCCGACUGCACAUGUCUGUAUAUUUAGGCCCUGUCUAAUGUUCAGAAGCCAACUAUCGCCGAGACAAAAGAGCGCUCUACAUACGCUCCUCCCUCUUGACCCGACAUCCUGGCGGCUUCUCCGUGUCCGAAAACUGAUAUCGCCCCAAAGGCGUAAUCGCCCGCGUCACCGUUUGGUUUCACCUCCCUUCACCCGAAACCUUGGUCAGCCAAAAUUUCGGAACGGCAGUCCAUUCUUCGUGCCGUCGCUAAACGCACCUUUAGCCGGCUCGGCAGCGCCAUAGCAUCCCAAGGACCACUUUGGAAUCCCUGUAAUACCGCCAAUCACUCUCAGCUCAGCCCCUCCCCCUUCCAGCUGAUCGGCGCCCUCUUUGACCCGCUUGCGGUCGCUCCGCUAUCCGGUCCUCGGGCUACGAGGCCCGGAGGCACUACACCGACUACACCAAAGUCAUCGUCACCACCAUCCUUCCCACCUAGCUCCCCACCUAAAACCCCUUUACAGUGAACACCUCAAAUACUCGACAAGUCCUUGCUCCCUUCAAGCUGCUGUUAAACUGCUAUUGUCCGUUGCACUCUGCGCCACUACGGGAUUAAAGCAGGCGCGGCCGAGCAGCCGUUCCAAUCAAAGCCCACACCAAACUGCGACCAACGAAGCGCGCCGGCACCCAUCCCGGAUGCCAUCACACCGCACGCCAUUGCACCAAACAUCGAGCCACACGACAUGCAUGACACACCCCAUACAACCGGCAUCGUCCGUGCCUUUUCGUAAUCAAGGAACGGCAGCCUCGGCUAUCGUUGGCCUUCCAUAACACAUCGCGUCGCCCAAAACGCAUUCACGUCGCAUCCUUUCACAGGGCCAGGUUCCCGAAAUCCAAGUCGCUUAGGUCAAACUUGGGUGGCGAGGCCAUGGGCGGGAUCUCGUACAGAUGACUGAGACUAGUCAGGUCAUCAUCCGCCAGGCUGCUGCCCGUAUCUGAAGUGAAACUGCUACUGGGCAUUGGAGCCGGAGGUGGUGGAGGGAUUACCGUGUCCGUGAUGGCGCUGGUGCCAUAAUCAUGCCCUUGGCCCUGCCCUGUGCCAUUGCUUAGAUAGGAACGCCGGGUGGUACCGCCGGUGCUGUCAGCUUCGGUGGUUUUGAAGACAACAAUGGGAUCCGGCUCUGCGCGCAGUUGCAAAGGACAAAGGCGGGAAUGUUUCCCUUACAAGCGGGGCUCGCGGUGCAGGGUGGAGUGAAGGGAGGGAGGGAGACGUGGCGCAUUAAGAGCGGGAUUCGUUUUAACACAUGGACUGUGAUCAUCAGAUGACUGCGCUUUAACACGGCACAGGACAAAGCAACAUUAUUGCGUGACACACGGCGAACUUACCGUACAUCCCGUACUGCGCAGCAUCAGCUUCUACCAAGACGCGGCCGCCGCUUCCCACGGCGAAGCCUUCUGAGCUGAGCAGCCCCAACCGAAGCAGCGGCGGAGACGAAUCUUCCCAGGCCUCUACUCCUGUUACCCCCGCUGGAGCUCUAGACGCCGCCCGCGCCGGCGCCUCCGGCAGGGAAGAUCCCGUGGUGCCGGCGCCUCCGCCGGCGAUAGCAGCAAUUCCACUGCCAUUUCCGCAUUGCCUGUAACCUGUGCGCCUGUCUUGAGCUUGGAGGUGGUGCCCGUCGUCGCUGCCGCGGUGGGAGGACGAGCUGGAUUGCCCCCGGCCCGCUGAGCGCAUGUCCAGCCCGUCGACUUGCAACAGCUGGUGCUGGUACUGUUGUUGAUAUUGCGUGGACGGUGGCGGAGUCGGCAGCCGUGUCAACGCCUCCGCCUCUGACAGCAGCUCCGCCAGUUGUCCGCAUCGAUCCCGGUACUGCAGCAAGAGUUGGCGUCGCCGGGAGGAAGCCAGCUGACUGGUACUUGCCGCAACGACGCUCCCGGCACCGUCCGCGCGUGUGUCGCCGUAGCUGGCGUGCGCCCCGGCGGCCCCGGCAUAGAGGCAGGUGGCGCGUAGCGCGGUCACGAGUGCGUGGAGCGAGUGCACCUGUCCAUUGCACGGGCAGGAGGCCGAAUAGGUAUGACGGGCUAGAAUGGGCGUGCGGUUUCAGGAAGAUCGAGCAAGGAUGGGCAAGGAUGGGGAUUGCUAUGAGGAUCAUCAACGUUCAGUAGCCUGGGAUCUUGCAACCAGGGGCCAAUCGAAUAUACUAGACAUACUUGUUUUCUGUCCGGGAGGCGCUUGCUGUUGGGGGUUCUCGCUGCUCUUUGCCAGGCGCACGAGAGGACGGCGGCGGGGAACUGCAAAGCUGAAGGUUCCUGACUGCAAUCUGCAACCCCCCAACAAACCCCCAUGUACGGGGGUCAUCCUUCAAGCGCAGCUGCCAGCAGGUUUCUUGCCGCAUGUCCCCCGGCAUUCUCACCUCUUCAUUGUGCGCCCAAAACUCCUCGUCGCUUUUAACCCGCCCGGCCGCUGCAGCGGCCUGCGCCUCCGCCACAGCCUCCGCCAGCCGGCUCUGCGCCGCCGCCUCCGACACCUUUAUCAGGGCCGCUAACCGGGACCGAGCCGACGCCAGCUCACCCCGCAGCACCCGACACCGCGCCCGCAGCAUCAGCAGGUCCUCCAGCUCGUCGUCAUCAUCGUCGUCCUCGGCCAUGGCUGGCUCCUGAGGAGACCCGUCAGCAGGGCUCUGAAGCGCGAUUGCCCCUGCUGCCGCCGCCUCCUUCAAGCGCUCCGGUGAGGCUCCCCCGCUGGUACCCGCAUCGCUGCUGCUGGUACUACAGCCGUGAAACGGCUUCGCUGUCGCGACUGCCGCCGCCGACCCCACCAGCUGCGCCCGCAGCUCGUUGAGCUCUUCAUCGUACCGCUUUUCUGCAAGCCGCUGCGCCGCCUCCGCUGCCUGCAGUUGCUCUUCAAGCUGCCGCAGCCGCGCCUCGGCUUUCGACAGGUCCUGCAAGCGCGCCUCUGUGCUCGUCGCCCCAACAGUGGCAGCAGCGGCGACAUCCUUCUCUGCAGCUCGCUGCAAUAUUGCUAGCUGCUCUUCCAACUCCGUCACCCGCUGUUGCGCUUCCGCCAAGGAGCUCUGCAGCCGCAACGUCUCUGAUACAUGGUGCUCCUGGGCCGCCGCAGCCUUGGACUCCGACUGCGCCAAUCGCGCCUCCGCCUCCGCCAGCUCCGUCUUCACAGCCUCCAGCUCCGAAUGAAGUGCUUUCAGCUGGGCCCCUAGCCUCUCGGCUUCCUGCUCUGAAACCCCCCCCUCCUGCGAGAGCAGCUGCCCUGCCGCCGCCAGCUCACGACGCCCUGCCUCGAGCUCCGAAAGCAUUUCCUCCUCUACGUCAGCUGCCGUUGCUGGCUCCUGCUCGCCCACGGUCCCGCGCGCAGUGGCGUUGGUCUCUGCCUGUGCCUCUGCGUCAGGCAACACGACAGCGGCUGCCAGCGCCGCCGCCAGCGUGUCGCGCUCCGACUCCACCUGCCGCAACCGUUCCACGGCGUCCUCCAUCUCCCGUUGCGCUUUGAGUUUCUCGCUAUUGGCCGCCUUGACGUCGCGCGACGCCGCCGUCGCUUCGCCGCGCGCCACCUGAGCCUCCGAGCGGUACUCGCGCAAAUCCGACUGCAGACGCGCGAUACGUUGCCGCGCAGUCUCCAGGUCUUUGGUCAGGCCCUCACGCGCCUUCCGCUCCCGUUGCUCCAUGUCACCGAGACGCCCCUGCAGCUCUGCGUUAGCGGUGGUCAUGGCAGCCAGCUGUGACUCCAGGGAGGCGAUGUUUUGGCCCGCCUCCGCCAACUCCGCUGCCAUUCGGUCAUUCUCCGAAACCAGGCGAGCUGCAUCGGAGCUGGCGGCGUGCGCGUUGGUAGCGUCGACCGCCGCCUUGGCCUCCGCCAGAUGCCGAGCCUCCAGCAGCUCUACCGUCAGAGUGUCUCUCCCCGCGACCGCCUGCUGUAGCACAAUCAGCAACACGCAUAGGAACUUAUCCUGUGCCGCCACCACUGCCUGCGCUUCCCCUCGUCCCUUCCGCGCCGCCUCCAUUGCCGUGCGCAUCUUCGUGCGGGAGGUCUCCGUUUCCACUAGAGCCGCCUGGGCUGCUUGCAGCUUCCCGCGUAGUUGAAGUCCGGCCUGCUCCACCUCCGCCAGCGCUGCUGCGCCCUGUGCAACCUGCGCCUCCGCUGUGCGGACCUCCUCCUGGCACUGCUGCAGGGCCGCGGCUGCCGCCUCGGCGGCGGUCACUACCUCCACCUGCUGCACCCUUAACCGCUCUUGCGCCUCCGCCAGCUCCGCCGUGAGGCGCGCAAUGGCCUCCUUCGCCGCCUCGAGUUCCACCGAAGCCGCCUCCUGCUGCGGGUCAUGCUGCUCAGCAGCAGCCUCUCGGCUCUGGCAUACGGGUUUCUGGUGCUGCUGGCGGCUGUGUGGACGCGACGGCCGAUGUUGUGCUUGGCGCGGACCGUGAGGGAGGUGCUGCUGCCGCUGGGCCUGCUGCUGGGGGCUCUCGCCUCCGUUCUGCGGGCAAGGAGGCGUGUGUGGAUGCAGGUCCGCCAGGCGCGUUACAGGCCGUGUGGCCCAGUCAAAGUCGUCAUCCGUGUGCCAAGAAUCGGAGCUGCUCCGCCAGGGGGUCGCCGGACGGGGCUCUUGUUGCGACUGCAUUGGUUGUUGUUGUCCCUGUGUCGAGGCAGAGGAGGGGCGCGUCGGGCCCGAGGCAGUACUGGGAGCUGCUGGUCGACGACCUUCCGGCGCAGGCGGCGGCACAGCUGCCGCGGCCGCUGAGGCCAUGGCAGCCGCCAGCAGCUCCCGCAGCCUGGCCACCUCCUCCGCCAGGUGUGUGUUCUCCUCCCGGAGCUUGGCGGCGUCCGAGUCACGACGGCGGAGCAGCUUGCCCAGAACGCGCCGCAGCUCCGGAGGCAACUGCAUGGCAAAUAUAGUACAAGUACAGAAUCAGAAGGCAUGAAACACGCGCAUGAGUCAAAAUAUUACGACUGACCAGUGAACGCUAAGAGUUCCAAGCGACUAGAACACGACACGGACUAGACCUUGCAGCAUGGCAGCCCGAAACAAAUUUUCCUUGAUAAUAAUUUCUAUCAAUCUUUUUUUCUUUAUUACCAAUCUCUACAAAGCCUCCGCCCUCCCGUCCCCCUCCACCGUCGCAUAAGGUUCAAUUCAUCCCACGUAACCACGUCCCCCAACACUGACCCCGUCCUUAAUCGACUCACAUCUCGCGCAUGUUCCUGGCUGCGGCCCCCAGGGCCAUGAUAUGAACCGUCCACAGAGCAGCUCUCCCCUGUUGGCCCUCCAUUGCCAGCAGCCGUAGCAGCUGCUGCUGCCGCCAUAGACCGGCCGCAGCUACCGUGAUCUGCUCCGUGUUGUUGGUGGUGGUGAUGGUGGUAGUGGUGAUGAGGCAACAGGCUGCCGGUGGGGCCUGCCGUUGCAGACCCCAGCCCUACCCCACCGGCAGCACCGGCACCAGUACCAGCACCAACACCGCCGCUCUCCGAGGCGCCCCCAUCCGAGGAGCCGCAGAGGUCCCGGAAAAGGACGUGGCUGCCGCCCAAAUCCUCGAAAAGCUGCGGGACAGAGAUGGCAGCGAGGUAAGGGUGAGGGACUUACCCACCCUGCCUAAUAGAGUAGCAAGCCCAGUGCACAUGCAUGACGACAGAGAGCGGACAGGUAGGGUCAGCUGGAUUUCAAUAUUUGCGAGUUCAGAAGAGCUGAAGCCAGGGUAAGAACCACGCCAACUCUUCCAACCCACCCACGCACCUCAAUUUCCCUCAGCCGCUCGGCCAAAUGCUCCGCCUGCAAGGUGGUUGCCUCCAGCUUCUCCUCCUGCUCUCGCAGCCGCCUGCGCAGCUCCUGCAGCUCCCCACUGGCCUGCUGGGACUCCGCCUGGAGCGCGUCGUUCAGCUGCCUCAGGUGCACGACGGUGGCCUCAGUGGCUGCUGCCUGCUGGGCCUUAUUCCGAAGGACCUGUGGGUAGCGGUAGACCGGAGAGGAGGACCGGAAACAGGAGCAGCGGCAAGGGAGUGAGCGCAUUUCGUGUUGAGGGGCGUGGAGGGUUAGAGGAUAGAAGGGGGUGCACUGUAGAUCAGGGCUACAUCCCUGAUGUAAGGAUAGCGGAUGGCGCGCCCAAAGUUGAAGUUAAGGGAUUGCAGAAUGGGGAUUUGGAAGAUGUGUAGUGCGCAGAUUCCGGGCAGGUCAACGGCCAGCAAGAGGGCAGCGCCGCCGCCCUUUUCCCUCGUUGCAGUGUUUCGUGACCGGCCCCCCCCCCGCCUGGUCGCAUACAUUCCCCUGCCUUCGCAGACCUCAGUCUCCGCCCCCACAGGGUCCCGUGCCCCAGACAUACAACGCCUCUCCUUUUCACUUUCCGAGGUAGCGACCCCACCACACCGCAGGGCCCCUCCCGCCCGCUUUCCUUCUGGUACCCGCAGCUUCCCUUCGGAACAACUCCACUCCGUCACCUCGCUUCGUCCCCCAAUCUUUGGCCGUCUCGUCCUUCAUCCCCUCACCCGAUCCAAGUUACGGCUUUCAAAGCAACCCUCCCCGUUCGCUGAUAUGGCGUCUUCAUAAAUCAAUGUUCGCCAAUGCCCCUGGGCCCUUUCCUCCCGCCCUGGACCAUUUCCCGUACACACCGCCAGUCCAUGAGGCCGUCCAUAGUCCGCGAGCACUUGCAUUCGUGCACAUUACUUCCCCUCCCCACCCCAUAUCGCAACGAUUUCCCCACACAUAAUCCCCCUUCUCCCCCUCGCUGCCCACUCACAUUAAGCUCUUCCUCCAUGGCCAUUCUCGCCAGCUGCGCCUCAUGCAGCUGCGAUAACAGGUGCUGACUGGCGUGCUUCUGCAGCGUCAGCUCGACCUGUAGGUUGUAAUUGUCAUUAGCCAUGCGGGUGGCGCUGGCCAUCUCCUGGGUUGUGAGUUGUGGGAAGAAAGGGGGAAAGCGGGGAAUUGAGGGCAGAAACAGUUGGACAGGACCAAAGCAAGGGACAGCACCGAUGGCGGUCUUCGGAUGUGCCACACUCGACCCCUAAACCGACAAAGCGGCGCUUCAUGUAGGCCGCGCGCCCAUAGGGGAUGGUGUAAGGGAAGUCUGAAACAAUAAGGGUGCACAGUAAAAACAUGAUGGGUGGAAACAUGCAAGUAACGAAUGUAACGCCCCCGACGAGUCGAAGACGGAAAGCCGGACGCAUCGAUAUAGCAUACGGGGAGAAGUGUGCGAGACACGCGCAGCCACAUGCGGCGUAAACACCCUAAGGCUGAACGGCAAGUCCGGGAGGGUCAUCUCAAAACCCCGAAGUUUCGACACACAGAUUCUGUCAAUGACGAGGCGGACCGAUAAUGGCCCAGAGAUGGCCAAGCCCAAAGGCUGGCAUACGCAGAGACAACCCCGUUGGUGGUCGAAGCAAUUCACCCCUUUAUGGGCGAAGAAGGUGAGCGGAGGCGUGUAUAUGUACCAUGCAGUUUGAUGAAGUGGGAGUAUCUGAAGGACGCGGUGGGGAGAAAGAGUCGAGAGCGAGCGCUUCAGGUCGGGAGGCCCAAGAUUCCCAUGGGAGGCCGUGAGACAGGGCCGGGAUCAUCGGGGGGCUCUGAGAAUAAUGAUCUGUGCGUAUACACACCUUGGCCACGCUCUUGAGCUCUGAUAUGCAAGCCUGCACCUGUUGUACUCCGCUGCUGGGGCCCGUCCCAGGCAACGAGUAGCGGCGACUCUCCAGGAGAAGUUCAAAGCUUUGCUUUAACGAGCAUGAAAGGGUCCUCAGGUCCUUCCGGAGCUGCCGGUAAACAUCUGCGCCGUUGUGGACGUCAUCGGACCCGUCACCGAGGAAAAGGGCAUCCCACUCUUUGGCAAGCUGCUCCCGAGAAUACUGGUCCAUCUGUUCAUGAAACGCAUGCUCCGGCUCGGGGCGCGUGGUUCCGCGGUGCAGCGUGAACAGACCCUCAUCUCGAGUGGGCAAGUGACUGCUCUGCUCUGGUGUGUCAAAAACUCUUGUAUCCGGCGAAUACACAGGAGGUGAGCGAGGCUGCAAGCUUGGCAUACUCCGCUGCAGCAACGGCAGCAGGACGUUGGUUACGCACAGGCGGUACUCGAAGUCGGCCCAACGAGACACCCUCUCACCAAGGACACGUUGAAAAUCUCAGGAUUAUUUGAAAAAGUCCUGCUGAGUGCUUCGGCCGCCCGCCCAUAGCUACUGGUCCCGGCCGAAUCCAUUCAACGCUAAGCUGACGACAACAGGACCUUCACUGUACGGCCCAACACCAAGCUAAGACUCGUUUGGAUUAUCGCUGCCGGGACAGGAGGCCUGACCAACACAGGUGUUGCUUCAGCAUGCUUGGAACAAGUUUAAACCUUUCAGAUCCAUACGCAGGAAUGUGAUAUGCUUUACAGGUCUUUAAACAAUUGCAAAAAGGACAAAGUUUUCCCAGGUAUAAGCCUUGGGUGCAACACAAACGUAUUAGGAGUUAUAAUACUGCAUACUAGAAAGCAUAAGAUGACGUGACUAAAUGUAUAUAUAUACCUACAGCUUAUGGAAAGAAUUUCUACAACUUUGCCAAUAUGGACGGGAGGUCAAAAUGAACCGCGAGUUAUACGUACGCAUGUUGCAAACCCAGGAAAUAGCAACCGGCUUGACAUCGAGUAUUAAGUUGGCUUACCAUAUCAUUAGUAGUCAGCUGUACGUAGCUGCCUAUCCCAUUUCCAUCAUGCGUGGGAACCCCUAACGCAAACCGAUAAUAAUAUCACAGUGACGCAAGCCUGCUUGCUCUUUCCACCCCAACAACUUGGUGCCUAUGCUACAAUUAAUUCGACCACAAUUUUGCGGCCGACGCUCAUGGCCACCAGCGUUUCGCCGGCUGCCGACUGCCUGGCGUGGCCUGCCGCGAGUCGCGCAGCCACAAAGGAGCGAUGCAACCUUGGCAGUAACUCCCAAGCGAGAAGACGGACCCAGCACAGACUUGCGCGUCAUUCUAGACCGCUUGGUUAAGGCAGGUCGCUCGCGAUUUCCGCAUGUGUGGCCCCCAAACGCUUAGCCACUCACCGCCAGCGAUUUUCCAAGAUCGCACAUCCUAUCAACGGUUCAACCCGGGACCAAAACCUGGAUUUCUGAUCGUCCCCAUAAACCAAAACCGUCGGCCCCGUACUCGCAUAUUCUUGCAUCUGCAGUUGGGUCUGCCCUACUGGCAGUCGGAGAGCUCCGCGCGCUGGAAACUUGCCGGCGUCGUGGGCCUUACGCUUGCAACUACAGCUGUAAGGUAGAUGUCGGGCCGGCUCGGGAGGGACAGAGAGAGGAAGAGACAGACUUGGAGGAAGGGAGAUCACGAGAUCACCGACUAACCGAAGCGCGAAGCGCUACCUGGGCUCAGAGAGCCACAUCAGCGAAGGGCCCCGAGGGGAAGGGUGUGGAAGCGGUGCUGACGUGGCGGCAGUCCGCAGUCCUGCCAUGGAAGGGGACCCCGUGUGCGGUGUGUCGACUUGACGCGGCAGGCGGUGACAGCUACUGAGGCUGGGGAAGCGUGGGGUCGGGAGGUGGAGCCUGUUUGUUAGGGCCAGGUGGAGCGGUGCGGGGAAGGGGGAGGCGGAGCACAGGGAUGUCCACGAGCUGCCGCUGGACUGGUGUGGUGUGUGUGUGUGUGGGGGGGGUGUUAUGUGUUUAUGUGGCGAUACGUAGGGACAUGGAAGCGUGUGUGUAUGUAUGUAUGUGCGUGUGUGUGCUAUAAGAAACGUAGCUGCAAGUAGUCAGUGGCGAGGAUGACACACACACACACUUACACGCAUGACUCCCCUCCUCCCCUCCGCUCCCUUCCUCCGGGGGCCCCCCACCACUGCAGUGUGGUGUUCAACUUCCUGGGUCGAGACUUCUUCACCGCGCUGUCCGAGAAGGACGAGGUGCAGUUCAAGUACCAGCUGGUCAAGUACCUGGGGGGCUUCGCUCUGGGGAUACCCGUGUUCGUGUUCAAGAGCUACUACCAGGUGGGGGGUCGGGGCGGGAGGGGGAGGGGGGGAGCGAGGGAGGGGAGGGGGAGGAGGGAGGGGAGGGGAGGGGGGAGCGGGGGAGGACGGGGAGCGGGUUUUGGGACGUAGGAGGAGCGAACAUGCCCUGUAUGUUUGUUGUGUAUUCAGCCCCGGAGCUUGUUUGUUUCCUCUCCGCGCGGGCCGCCCUCUCUCGCUCAGAAGUUGCCUUCUCCCUAGGGGCCUUGAGGUCCGCUCCGCGCUUGGGGUCAGGUCGGAAUAUGUAGCCGUGAAUCACACUGUCGCACACAAGGAGGCGUGCGCUCUUGUUUCACCCCUAUCUCCCUUAACCAACCAAAUCGCCGACCGACUCCCCCCCCACUCACUCCCCCCACUCACUCCCCCUUGUCUCUCCUGCAGAGCAAGCUGGCUCUGGAGUGGCGGCAGUGGAUGACGGAGCGGCUGCUGACCGACUACCUGGCCGACCGCACCUUCUACGGACUGCAGCAGAGCGGGGAGGUGGACAACCCCGACCAGCGCAUAUCCUCCGACGUGGCGUGAGUGGGGACUGGGGGGGGGAGGGGCCGGGGUGAGGGGGGUGGCUGUGGAGGAUUGGGGCGUACUGUUCACAUUCCAUCGCCCUCCCCCUCCUCCCCCCCUCCGGGUCCCCACCUGCCCCCCCUUACCCCCCCUUACUCCCCCCCACAGGACCUUCACGGACACCGCCAUGGGCUUGUCCCUGACACUGCUCAAUGCGGGAAUCGACCUGGUGUCCUUCUCCGGCAUCCUGUUCUCCAUCUAUCCGCCCCUGUUCGCGGCCCUGCUGGUGUACUCGCUGGGGGGCACUGCGGCGUCGGUGGCGCUGGGGAAGGUGCGUGUGUGGGGGGGGGGCCGAGAGAGGUAGAGAGAGAGAUUUGGGAGGUGGUAGGGGGGGUAGGGGGAAGGUGGGGGGAGGAGCUAGACACGCUUGACUGGUGUGGUGUGGUAUGGUGUGGUGUGGUGUGGUGUGGUGUGACCCNNNNNNNNNNNNNNNNNNNNNNNNNNNNNNNNNNNNNNNNNNNNNNNNNNNNNNNNNNNNNNNNNCCACCCCACCCACCCGCACCCCCACCCCCACCCGCACCCCCAGUCCCCCCCCACCCCACCCACCCACCCCACCCCACCAGCGCCAGGAGCACACGACCACGCACAGACCACCGCCGCCCAGUGCCUUCCCCCGCCCAGUGCUCCACCACCUCUCAACCAUCCGCCCUGACCAGCCCCGUUUCACAUAAUCGCCCGUCGCCCCCCUUGCCCCCCCCGGGCCCCCUCCCCUCCAGAACCUGGUGACCCUCAACUUCACACAGGAGGCUCGGGAGGCGGACUUCAGGUACGGGCUGGUGCGGGUGCGGGAGAACGCGGAGAGCAUCGCCUUCUACGGCGGUGAUCAGGAUGAGAAGGAGCUCUUGAAGCAGGUGGGCGGCAGGGGGGGGGUACGGAGGUAGGGGGGAGGGGGAAGACGGACCACGUGAACGAGUGAAGCUGAUGCAAAGGAUAGACAGGUACGCCAGAAGUAUGUAAGAAAUAACUAACCAGUUGCGAGUUGCGAAGGAGAGCUGUUGUGUAUCGGCUGUACGACUGUACGACUGACAUGAAAUCCGAUUUAAUAACUGGCUAAAGCACACCAGCUGGACACACAUACAUACAUACAAACACCUACCCUGGGUGAGCCCGCCGAGGUUGGAAACCAAGCUCACUCCGACUACCACCCUUGCUCCCUCAAUGAGCGAGGGCCUUAUUCCCCCCUCAGCUUGACACACCCAGGUUGUUGGGUUCCGGGGGUGGGCGGCCUCGCCGCCCUCCACCACCCGGUACUUGAUGACUCGUCCUCCUCCUCCUCCUGACCCCCCUCUACCCCCCUCUACCCCCCCCCCCCCCACACACACACAGCGCCUGCAAGCCGCCGUGUCCAACUACCUAGGGCUGUUGACCGCCUCCCGCAACCUGGACUUCUUCACCUCCUUCUACCGCUACCUCAUCCAGCUGCUGCCCGCCGCGGUGGUGGCACCCCUCUACUUCCAGGUGGGUGGGUGGCGGGGGCGGGGGGUCUCUUGCCACAUGACGACAACUGACCGCAACUCGCUGAGGGGGGGGCUGGGAGGGAGGACAGCUCCAAGGAGGGAGGGGGGCACCUCGGAGGGCGGGUUUGGGGGGGCCCUCGCCCCCGGGGUUGGCAAGGGGCAGCCGGGGGGCGGUGGGGGGGGGAACAUCUGGGUGCGGGGCCCGCACCGCGGCCGAGGGAUUGCUCGGAAGCUGCUAACGACCCUUCCAAGGUGCGAUACGGCAGUGUACGGCGCCGGGCCCUCAAUACUUGUGUUUAUGUGUGAAAUCCUGUCGUACGCAGGGUAAGAUCGAUUUUGGUGUCAUCAAUCAAAGUCAGUCCGCCUUCAACCACAUCCUGAACGACGUCUCCCUCGUCAUCUACCAGGUAGGUACGGCACCUGUACGGCAACCCAUUAGGAUUGCACUUAAGCUGGUCAUCGAGGGUUGCGAACUCAGCCGUGCAGGGGAGAGGGGCGGUGGUGGCCGCCAAGAUGUAGGCAGGCAGCGCGUACGACACGGACUCCAAAACCUCAGAUGCCGUACAUCCACUCCCUGUGGGUUCUUACCGACGCCUGCGGCAUUGUCGUGUGGUUGGGAGUGGGGCGGCACCUUGCGCCCCCUGCACAGUCGUACACGCGACUGACUGACCAUGUUGCUGACCCUCACAGCCGGUACGUCUUCAUCCGCCCUCGGACCACAGCCCCCCCCCCCGGAGGCCCCUACUCACAAGUCUCAUUGCAGAGCCCGCUCGGCGCCCUCGCGCUUUAACCGGCCCACCCACUGCCCCCCCGCUCCCUCCCCCCCCCACACACACACCUGCAACCCCCCCGCAGAUUGAGGCGCUGGCGGGUUUCAGUGCGGUGGUGGACCGGCUGGGGGAGUUCCAGGAGGCCAUGACUGUACGGCAGGACCAGCAGGCCAGACUGGCGCGGAUGGCGGGAGAGGAGCAGGAGGAGGGGAAUGGGACGGCGGGGGAGAGUGUGGUCGCGGCGGGAGUGCUGGAGGGGAACAGGCAGCAGCAGCAGCAGCAGCAGUCAGUGGCGGUUGGGGAGGCGGUUGGGGAGGAGGAGGCGGUGCCGCUCCCGGGCAUUCAGUUGCGCUUCCUGGGGAGUGGGGCGGGAGGAGGGGGAGAGGGAGAGGGUAGCAGGGGAGCCGUCAGCGGUCAGAGUCAUGAGGCUGUUGGACCCACGGGUCGGCCGGCCCUGUUGCAAAUACACGACUUGACAGUGGUCACCCCCCGGGGCAACAAUCUGUUGCUCCAGAACCUGGACCUGCAGGUAGGGUCUGUAUGUGUGCGUGUGUGUGUUCGAGCAUGCGGGGGCGAGUGGUGGUUCCCAUGGGGGGGUGUACACAGGGCCCCCGGUUCGCGAUGCGGCCACGCCGAUAACGAAACAGAUAUCUGCAGGUGUGGUGGUUAAAGUGGGGUCCAGACUCGUGAAGAGUAGAGCAGCAGGUGCGGUGUCCGGGGGCCCCCGCGAUAACCCGUCCCACCCGAGGGGAAAACACACCGCACGCACGCAACCAACCGCUCGGAACGUAUGCCCCACUCCGACCCUCUCAACAUUUCUUCCUCCCCCUUCCCCCUCUGGUACACUCUUGCCCUGGCAGCAGCUUCACUCAUUCGUGGUUCGUCUUUCCCCUCCCCCCCCCAUACCCUCCCCCCAGGUUUGCCCCGGCUCGUCCCUACUUGUGAUGGGGCCCAGCGGCGCGGGUAAGACCAGUUUGUUGCGGGCAGUGGCCGGGUUGUGGUGCGAGGGCCGAGGCCGCAUCGAGCUGGGGGCGGCGCGUCGGGAGGUCAUAUUCCUGCCGCAGCGGCCGUACAUGGUCCUGGGCUCGCUCCGAGACCAAGCUCUGUACCCCAGGUACCAAGGGGGGAAUGUACGGCGGAACAUGGGACGUGUGCGGAGGGGGCCAAGCGCGCGGAAGAUCGCCGAUUAGAUUUGCGGCGGAAGCGAGGGCGGUAUCGCGCGGCUAGGACGUGAGGCUAGAUGUCCCCCUGGGGGGUUGCGGUCCUGCGGAGUCGGGCGGGCGGGGGAGGAACCGGGCACUUCGGGGGCUGAAAGGUGCCUGUGUUUCUGUUUGUGUUUGUACAUGUGUUUGAUGUAUACAUAUAUGUAUGUGUGUGUGAGUGUGUGUGGAAAUGUCUAAGCUGCGCUUCUAGCGGUAGCUCUUAUAUAGGCCUUACGACUUGGAGGGUUGGGGGCAUGUGCUGGAGGCCCCGGGACUGUUAGCUCCUGCCUGUUCGGACCCUAGGGUAUCUCGGCCCGGAUCUGGCCCGCCCAGCCGUGUAUUCCCCCGCCUGAGGGCAGCACCCGGGGGAGGAGCGGCAGGGGUAUGUCCGGCAAGGGCCUCCAGCAUCCCGACUAACUAACAACCCUCCCGUGCACCCCUCGCGGCUGCGGCGGCGGCUGCAGGCACCUGCACCAGUGAUUUUUUUCAUUUAGGGCGGGUCUCAAUUUAUUCCAACCUAAGUAACAAAGUUGCUAAGAUCGCCGUAAUGUAUUCCUUAAGUGUAGGGCGCUGGGGGGGCCUACGCCCCCCCGGACAAGUUACAACUCCCCUCAUAGACCAAGAGGCACGCACUGCGUUGGCGCGUUUUCGUUCAUGUGCGCACUCUUCAUAUGCACAUGCAUAGAUAGUUCUGGCACUGUUUGUGAGCAAUAAGUAAAUCCGACCAAGCAAAGGCCCAAAGCAAGCAACCGCAUAGCAACAAAUCACAGGCCGCCACCCGCCGCUGCAAACCACAGCACACUAGGACUCUACCGGUUCAUCAUGUUCCGGCCCCUGCUGCUGCUGUCCAGCCACUUCCUCAGUGCGUCAAGGAACGGGAACGUGCCCAGGUCGAACAGGCCUGGGUAAACAUCCGCACACACAAUGCUAGGUGCUCGUCCAGGCGGUUGCAGGUGGGGUCCUGCAAGUACCCCAUGGCCGAGAACCCCUCAUAUCUAUUCUAUGAUUGAUAAUACUAACUUCUGCACAAUACGGAGCAAUCUGGCAGCAAUGGACGUUUUUGGAGGAAUGAAAAUGUACGGAUCGACCACAAUUCAUUCCGUUUUUCCAAAGGCCAAAAUGGCCUGUUUAUUCCUUUUAAGGAAUAUAAAUUACUUACUAUAAAAGCCACUGACCUGCACGCGACGGAAACCCGCACCGCGGCCAUUCAUCUAGCCGACCAGACAAUCUCCACCCCACCCCACCUUCUCUUCCCCCCCGUCGUCUCCUCUCGUAUCGUUCUUUGUCCCCCAUCUUCCCCCCUACCUCCCUUUUGUCCCCUCAUCGCCUUCAUAUCGCAUGAUGUAGCUCCUCUCCCCCCCUUCCCUCUCUCCCCCGCCUCCCGCAUCAGGCGCUGUGGUGAAAUUGGAGAGCCCGCAGCGACUGGUAGGGAACCUGCCCUCAGCGAUGAUGGCAACAGCACCUCCACCUCCUCCGCGCCCUCCUCCGCGCCCUCCUCCGCGCCCCCCGGUGGGCAGCUGCCGGAUGACUGGGAGGUGUUGCGGGUGUUGGAGCUUGUGCAGCUGGGGCACUUGCUGACCAGAUACGGUGAGGAUGUGGGGGGUGGGUGAGAGAGUGUGUGUAAGAGUGUGUGAGAGUGUGUUUUAAUGAUAAGAGGGGAUGCCGAUGGUGGUGGUGGUGGUACACUAAUAUGUUUACAGAAAGUGAGCUCCGUAGUCACCAGUAACGUGUUAGAGUUUUCCAAUAAAACCGUAGACGUAGCUGCCACUCCGCAGCCCCUCCAUCCGGGGAUGGCGCUGCAGUGAAAGCACCACGAAGGGCUCUCAGGUCCCGCUAGAGCGAGUCCACAAGUCUCAGCUAGGGCAAAGUCAAAGGCUCUCUGAACAACCCCCCAAAACACAACCAACGACAAAGGGAUCCCAAGGGAGAAAAAAAGCAAAAAAAUGUAUACCACCACCCUGUAAACUGCAGGUUGGUAUAGCUUCACCAGCGGCCCCCUUUCCCUUGGAGACAGUUCCCUGCUCUCCCCUGCCAGAGGGGCACCCUAAUCCGUCACCCCAUCCGACUUCAGAAUGUAUUCGUUGGGUUCAGCAACUCACGACCAGCAUCCAACCAAAUCUAGCGGAUCAACGGCGCCUCAACUUAGUUCCUGGUCAGCUCGCAAGUUGAUAUUAUCACGUCCUACACCGUCCAUAAGAUGGGGGCCACCUCCCAUUUCAACACUUCUCAAACACCCGAGAAGUCGGCAGGCGUAUGUAUGUAUGUAUGUAUGUAUGUAUGUAUGUAUGUAUGUAUGUAUGUAUGUAUGUAUGUAUGUACGUAUGUGGUGGAGGAGGUGGGGUUGACAAGGAUUAGCAAGCAGAGGAGCACAAAGCCCAAACCUACAGGUUUAGCAAAAGGCUGAAUCCGUGACUUUAAGGCCUUUGCUUAUCGCUGCCUGUUUUCCAAAAUGUAAAUGAACUGCAUUUCCGUUUCCCUCCCCCGGGGGGGGGGGCGUCAGGGCCGCACUCCUCCCGCACAGCCACCGCCCCGGGACGUGUCAGCAGCAACGGCAAUGGUAACAAAGCCAACGGUCUCAACGGUACCGGACAAGGCGCCGCAUCUGCCAGCGGGUCCUCGGAGGCGGCCGCCUCAUCAUCAUCAUCAUCAUCUGCUGCUGCUGCUGCGGCCUCCGUCCUUGAUACCGUAGCGGACUGGUCUAGCUGCCUGUCACUGGGGGAGCAGCAGCGCCUGGGCUGGGCGAGGCUGCUCCUAUCUCGGCCCAAGCUGGCAUUGCUUGAUGAGGCAACCAGCGCGCUUGAUCAGGAUACGGAGGCGAGGCUGUACAAGGUGGGCCAUGGACGGGAACGUGGGCCGGCGGGCGGUGGGACAUGGGCAGCCGAGGGAUGUGCGAAGGAAUGGAUAAAAGAUGCCGCCUCCUGGCCCCUUGCGCUCCGGGGAUUUUGGGCGAAUUGAAGGCCUGUACGGCGCGGCCCGGAGCUUCCUGCCCCUUGUCCAUCCCAUCACUCCCCGCAUCGCCGCUACCGACACCUUGUUCCUCCCUUCCUUUCCCUUCCCUCUAGGUUCUUCAGCAGUCGGGUAUCACGUACAUCUCGGUGGGCCACCGCUCCACGCUGCGGGAGUUCCACAAGACAUUGCUGCAGCUCAGACCCGACGGCGCGGGCGGGGUGGCGUGGGAGGUACGGCAGCUGGCCGAGCCGCAGGUCGCGGCUGAGGCUGAGGCUGCCACCGUGCGGGUGACCGCUCCCUAGGGGGGCCCACGGCUGAGACAGUGGACGACACGCGGACACGCACCCCCUUUCUUUUAAAAUUGUAUAUUUCAAAUAGAUAGACACCAGCACCAGAGCGGAAGCAGCAGCGGAGGCAGCAACAGAGAGGAAGAAUUACAAGAGCAUGAGAGAGGUGGAGGGAUGCCUGAGAGGGAGAUGAGGGCGGAAUGAGGGAGGGAGGGAAGCUGGAGGCACGCGAGUGAGCGGCGCGAGUUCGGGUAACGGUUCUGGACAUUGCGGAGCUUCUGAGGGCGCAGACAAGGUCCCGUGCUUGGAUGACGUCGUGGUGAGCGAGCAAAGGGAGCGAGGACCCGGUCUUUCCUCUUUUGCCGCUCUUGUGGGGGAAAGACCCACCUUGGAUGGCCGCCUGCAUUGCGUGGCCUUGGCCUCGGGGCCGGUGCGCUGCAACACACGGGCUGCGACCAGUCGGGGUUAGUUGGAAGUGAGAACGCUCCGUCAGCAUCAUCGCCCCACCCCAGGGCGGCGAGCGUGCCGUGAUUGUACAUUUACAUGUAAUGUAGGUGCAAUGCGUCGAUGUGUGAAAAACGAAUGCUACAUGUGUUACGCUUGGAGAGUGAAUGUCGUGUGGUGUUGUUGUGUGGAUAAAAAAUUGCACUCGCGUGUGCAGGUUGCAUGGGCCGCGUCAUUCAGACCGGCCCGCUAUUGUGUUGUACAUUUUGAGUUGUUCAUGGGCAAAUCUGAAACCCUGACCUGGACAGUCCAUGAAACAAGUCCAUGUAAUGAUGUAUCAUCUGUGCGAGGUUAGUGUCCUCGUGUGUACGGCUGAUCGUGGUGAGAGUGACCACAGCGAGUCGACAGAGCACUUGCAUUGCUCGCGACGAUGAUGCAGUGCUUUUCGUGUUGCGCGGGUGUUAUUGCCGGUCGAUGAUGGUGACCUCGUAGCCCAUAUUGUACGAAUACACCUCUGGGAAAAGUCUUUGUUGGCCUAUUGGGAGCCUGGUACACAUCCUUCGCGUUGGUUUGUAUCAUCCUGGCGUAGUCUGGUCAUGAAAGGGGUUGGUUUAAAUUACUCCUUUCAAUUCCCUUCGACUGAUGGAUGUUUGGCAGUUUGGCCUGGCGAUGAGAACUCAAUACAUUGUGGGGUCACGUCCCUGUCUGCUCUCUCGCACAGGCAACGCGAGCAUACCUGUCUCCACCCAUAUGAGUCGAAAGCCAUGUUAGGGGUAUGCAGGAGAGCCUCAUUCACUGUCACACACGCCAUGAGGCAUCAUGGCAUCACCGCCUCUACCCAGGAUCUCUAUCUCUCUCUUUCUCUCUCCCUCCGCUCGACCUCACCAACGCGGUCAACUGGCCCGGAGGAGCGCCAGCUGUGUCACCCAACCAAGCUAGCCGCUACACAGCGACCCGAUAAUUGCAGCAAGCGCUGAUAUCAAUGAAGACGGACAAACAGGUCACGGCCUCAAGGAAACAGGCUGCCAAUAAAAACUCACACGCCUCUUCUGCCAGCCUGUCCGACCGAAUCCACCCCGUCACUCUCCCCACCACCGUCAAUCUACGGAUAGAGGCAGCAAAACUUAUAUAAUGCAGCGCCAGAGCGCAGCCCCGUCUGGGUCGCGCCCCUGCACCGCUAGUAGCUACAAACAAACUGCCGUGACGUUUGAUGAGACAACCGUCGCGCUGAAUGCGGGAGAAGAGAUUAUACCUCGCAACGGUCACUCGGCGAGGUUGCGUGGUGCCAAAAGAACACCACACGCACUUCGGGAUGAUUUUGCCGCCGAACGAAGCAGCAAAACGUCUUUUGCGUGUGCAGCACAUUGACGGGAUGCAAGCACUCAACCCACUACUACAUUGAAACCGAAAACCACUCUCACCAGUUCAGUGCACAAACGUUCAAUACAACGCGCAAAGCCACCACAGCCACAACGUGUGCUAUAAAAUGGAUGAUACAUGAAAGCCGUUGGCGCAGGCGUUGGCGUGCGAUGACGAGGGUUUGCAUAAUGUCAUGGUCAUGAAGGGAGGGAGAGGGAGGGAGGAGAGGGGUUUGUCGGUCAAAACGCACGCACGCCACCGCCCCCUUGGUCCACAUGCGAAAAAUAUCCACCCAGCCAACCGAAUAUGGCCCCGGGUCUUUCCCCGCGAGCUAAAGAACCUCCGGUCGCAGCCAGGUUUUUUCUGCAGCAUGAAUCGCGGCGCCUCAAUGUUCGGAAGAAUCCUUGUGGCUAUCGUGUAGUCAUUUUCACCGUCGGCUCCGUGGGGGCGGAGGAGUUGUGUCCAAAGAGUAAUUCGGUCAUUCGGUCAACGUCGAAUGGCACGGGUAAGGAAAAUCGGCGCUUCAUGCACUUCACACUUUCACGCCACUGCGCCUGCGUGCCAGUCAAGACUUCGGGGGGCACAAUAAUGCUGAUGACACCAUACAAAAGAGACUUAAAAGACGCACUGAUACACUGAUAGCAUAAAAGAGAUUCAACUUUGCCCUCCCCUCCGUCGCCGUCUGGAGAAACAACACUAAUGCCGAGCCAAAGAAUAGCGCUGACAUUCGCUGGCCUUGCCGACGCUUGCUGGACCCUCCGUCCUUUACCUUAAUCAAAGCUGUCAUAGAACUCUCACCACCACCACCAGCACCACCGGAACGAAAACACACAACAGCUGCUGCUCGCGCCUUACGCGCACACGUCCAAUGUCACUCCUACCACCCCAGUGACCCCCGGGCGCUUCCUUGCACCUGUCCUGCAGUAUGUCACCGCCGGCCCGCCUCCUUCCUCAUCCAGCUGUCCCUUGCCGCUCCGAUAGCUACUAGACCACCGCCACGCAACCAUGGAGCACUUACGUACGGGGGUCUUAAAGGCCGACCAGGGACAUUUCCUCCCCGCGGGCCCGACACCGUGUAGGGCCCGACGGGGAUACAGACCGGACCAAAUUACCUCCAGCAUGCCGCUAGCUUUGCAGCGGAUCCCGCCCCACAUGGUGCAGCAGCAGCCCGCCCCGACAGUGAAGCUAGCGUAGCAUUGUUGCCCAUGCACGCAACAUGUCGGCGGUACAACGGAACACGGUAAACCGCUGUGGCGCCCCGCAUUUCGGACAAGGCGCUUGCCCCCGGCCCAUAGCUAGGCCCCCAGUCUUUCACAAGGCUGGUUGCUUUGCGGCUUAUGGAGUGCUCCCUAACGCCCCCUAACGCUGCACUGAGGGCGCCUCGCAGGACUAGCCGUCCUCUUCCUCGUCAUCAUCGCGUGCCUCCUGGUCCCUCUGCCUCUCCCGACCUCGCUCCCGAUCCCUCUCCCGCUCGCGCUCCCGUGGCACCCUGCCAUACUCCGUCCGGCCACGUUCACUGCCACCGCACGCGCCGCCACCACUGCCGCCCCGCUCCCGGACGCCCCCGCAUCCACCGCCGCCUCCAGGCCCCAUGCGCCCACCAUGCGAGGUGCCGUGCUUCGUCGAGUGCGUCCCAUUCAAAGCUGCCACUGCGCCGGAAGCCAAGCCUCUCGGGCGCUUCUCAACCUCCAGGUCGCUAAUUGCGGUUCCGGGGUGCUCCUCGGAGCUGCUCUUAUCGGAGUGUCUGUGGCGCUUAACGGGCUGCUCGUCGUCGCUGUCCCCGCGGAGUAGUCCACGGCCGCGGCCGCCGUAGUGGCCGUAGCCGUUGCGGUCCUUGCGGUCCGAUAUCUGCGCGGGGGAGGGGGUGUUAGCGUGCAUGUAUGUGUGCGACCUCUGUCUCACGAGCACAUCCUGGGGAUAUAUGUGCAAGUAAGACCAACCACCGAUAUAUCCAAGCAUCUCAGCGGCCCGGUGGCCUUGAGACCUAGAACCAUGCCGCAUCGAGAGGACGGAAGGGAGCGCACAUGCUGGAGCCAGCCAGCGUGACGCGUGGGGACCAAUCAGCAAACACACACACACAUAGAGCAAGAGGCGCAUGGGAUUGAUGGAUUGCACGCUCAGCGAUGUGGGGGACGUGUCGCACCUCGGUGCGGAGGAAGCGCAGCUCGUCCCGCAGCCGCUCGUUCUCCUCCUUCAGCCGCUUGUUCUCGUCUUCGAGCGAUUGCGUGCGCCGCUCAAGUGAGGUAAGCUGCUGUUCCAUUUCUCGUCGCUCGUCCUCCAAGAUGUUCCGCUAUCAGGUUGCCGAGGACAGAUGAAUUGAAAGGGGUUUCGCAAGGAUGAAUGAGGGUUUUCCUUGCCUAUACUUAUUCCUUUUUAUAACAACUUCACAUUAUCAUCAUAUUCACAAUGCCUUAAAGAGUCUGAGAGGCCAACGACCGCUCCUUGCGGUUCCCGACAAGCAUGGAAGCCCGAACAUACUAAACCGACCUACCUCUUCCUCCAGUUUGCUGAGAUGCUCCUGCUUUCGACGCCGAGACCGUCUAGCCGACUCGCGGUUACUCAGCAUUCUGCAAGCACAAGUGUAAGAAUUAACAAACACAAACGUUGCUUGUCGGAACGGGAAAACUCACCUUCGUGCACGCCUUUGAUCCACUUUGUCCAUGUCUUUAUCAGAACUAACUCCACCUGCUGUUGAGUUGUUGGUCAACCGCGCGCCUAGGGACCCGAGCUGUCCGAGCUGCAGAGCUGCCGCGGCAGCAGCAGCAGGCGUGAGGGCUGCUGUCAGGGGGUUCGCCUGGGCUGCAAAGGCCGGUACGGCUUGAAGAGCUGCUCCUCCAACAGCCGCAAGUGAUGCCAGAUCCGAAAGCGCAGGUAGCCCCGGAAGGGGGUAACCCGCGGGUAACGGAGGGGCCGCAGGUAAAGCCACAGGCGCAGGCAAAGGAGGCACCGCGGCUGCCGCCUUCAGGACAUCCGCUGGCUCCGGAACGCGGAAUGCUGAAGCUCCUGUUGAUGACGGAAGUGCUUCAGCCUUCACUGCAGGUGCUGCAGCCGCUGCUGGUGCUGAAGAAGCUGGGCCUGGGUAGUGAACGAGCUGCCUCAGCAGCUCCAGCGAUGGCACCCGUGGAAUACCGCCCACAGCAGCAGCAGCUGUUGUUACUACGUCAGAUAGAACCACAGAAGGAAGCGACGAGGUUGAGGCGACCGGCUGUGAAGAAGUUCCACCAGCAUUCUCUGCAACGGCCGCCGCAAGGUUUGUGGUUGAAGGUAUUCGCUUCAAGAACUCUUGGAAAGCUGCCUCGGAGUCUGUGCGGCCCAUCCCGGCCUGACCAAGUCGCCAGAACCCGCCUAAGAGGUCAUCGACGCUAGUUUGUCUCUCCAUAGCGCUCAUCACUUGUUCGUUAUACUUGAAAGCAGGAUGAAAAAGCAACACCUGUACAAAAAGUUGGCAAAAGUUUUUCCCGAGUGCGAGCUGGGUUAGGGAAUCGCGCCCAGCGUCUGACUAGAUGACACGUCGCCUUGCGUACAACCCCCGUACUUCUCCUGCGCUUACUGGGAUAUGGGAAGCCGAUGCGUUGUCGAGUAUCCGCGAACAAAUGUAAAGGAGACCAAGAAUGCACUAACGUCCACGUACUUUGAGCAAGUGACCGCUGGCCUGCUCGUCUAAUCCAUGAACAAAGGUGACGACGUCCUUACUUCAUAAAACAGGUCCUAAGAGUCACAAAUAUGAAUCAGUUCACCAUUAUUUCCUUGGACCCUUGCCACUGUUGCGAGCUGGGCAAUCCAUAUUGCGGCACGUUGCUCAACUUAUGCACUUUGUACGACGUUUUAGCUACCGCGUGUCAGUUGUUGAGGUGCAUAAGACGCCGUCACGACUGUCUGCGCUGCAUCGCGCACAGUCAGGAAUCGGUAAACAUCUGGACAUCUUUCGAGCUGCGGACUUUUUCCUCAGGGGUGCACAAACCCCCCAACCUCUUCCAGCAACAGCAAUUUGUCUUAUACGAGGAAGCGGGGAUGGAGGCUACACAUGCAUUCAUUUGUUUGAUGUAUAUCCUAGUAACGGUAAAGUGCCAGCAUAUGUUGAUGGUGCUCCAAAGCCCAAUCCUACCUCCCCAACAGCCUCAAGACGCGGAGAUGCCACAUUCGCCAAUUGCAGGGAGUUAAAACGGCCCAUGGGUCCUGCGCCAGUCUUCGGAAAAAGAGUGCAAGGCAAUGAACAAGACGUAGCAAUAGAUAAAGGGAAUGACAUUCAAGGUUAACCUUUCGCAUCGGCAUGCGCGCCAAAUAUCCUUUGUGGCUUGUCUGUCAGGAAUGAGCUCUCCUGUCCAACAAUUUAAGUCCCGUUAUGUACCUCUCUUCCAGGCAUCCUCCAAACACCGCCCUCCUCUCGUACCAAUCCUCUCCCGCCAUGAAUACUAGCACCCGCACUUGAAGCUCUACUGGUCCCUUAUGGCACUUAGCCAACGACGAUGGCUGAUGUCUUUCCGGUACGAGCAGUUGCGGCUCUUCCCGUCACCACGUCCCGAUUUCGGUCAAACCGGACAAGACAGGAAAGACAGGACCGGCUUCCACCAUCACUUUCAUGUUCACGGCGGGCGGGUCCACUUGAUCGCCUAACAUCACUAAGUACAGCUCCAGAGACACAGAGACGCGCCGGCCAGCUGCAUGUCACGCAGCCUGUCUGGCUCGCUAUGCCCCUAACCCAUCAUCACCCUCGAAUAUGUGCUCAUCCGCAGGCACCGGAAUUACAUCCUCGUCCUCCGGGAUGAUGUCUUGGCCGUCCUGACCAUCGCCCUUAGCCUCGUGCCCCUCCACCGCACCACCUGCCGCAUCCCCACCAGCCUCCCCGCCGCCCUGCUCCUGCUCCUGCUGCCCCUCACGCCCCUCUCCAGCACCUCCGCCUGCGACCUCCUCGCCUUCCUGCCCGCCCGCCGCCUGCAAAGCACCACCGGGGCCCCCGCCGGCCCCAUCCCUGCCGCCACCGCCGCCCCCGGCACCCCCACCGCCAGCUCGCCCUGGGUGGCCGCCUUGCGUCCUCUGCCGCUUGAAGUCCUGCCGACUGCCGCCACCCGCGUCCAUGCCUAUACCCAUCUGCUCCAUCAUCUCCGCCUGCAUAAGUUUGCCGUAGCCGCCCCGGCCCGGGUCGUAAUCCUGACGGAACUCGUCACGCACCUGGGGGCAGGGGGCAGCAUGUGUAUGACACGGGGCAGGGGGGCCGCGGCGGGUUGCAGGGGGGUCGGUCCAACGUGAAGCCAUAACGACGGAACAAACGACACCCCCCCUCCAGAACAUCCACCUCCUGGUACGAUUACACAGCUUCACACAGCUUCAUGAAAUAUGAAGUAAAAGUAACCUUGCUGUCUUACCGGAUGGAAGUUCUCGGCAAUUGGAACCGCUGGCAAAGCCAGACGAUGUGUGCGUUCCCUACCAACCUGCCCGAAGCUCGGGAGCCCCGUGGAUUGCACAUUUCAGGCUUCACAUUGCAAUCCCAUCUGCAGCUCUCGCCUAAUCCCCAAGCCUACAAACCGCCAGAUGCCGCCAAGCAGCUGAGCAGGUCAGGUCUCCUACCCCUUCCACAGCUCCUGUCCCACCUGGCCGCCCGAGCGCCCCCGACCGUACUGCCGCCCCUCAACGAAGCCCCAGUCCAAAUCCACACGGAUCGCUCGGUCGUCCACCAGGGUGCCGUUCAGGAAGGCGACCGCUUCCUCCGCGUCCUGCAGGUGAAGAGCGUGCAUGGCGAGCCCUGGAUAAGAGUCAAGCGAGCGAUGGGCAGGCGUGUGUGUGUGUGUGUGUGUGGCUAGGUGGGCUGAAGGGUGCGGAGCAUUGCAAGCUGGCUAGGCUGAGCCGACUUGGCAGUGGCCCCCGGAGCCCCCCGACCAGCGCCAGGCGCUACCUUUCUGGUGUAGUAGAUGGCGAAGGCGAAUCCGCAAGGGGUCCUCUGGAUCUUGUCCAGGCCCAUGACGAUGCGCUUGAUGUGGCCCACCCGCCCGAACACAUCGUACAGCUGCUCCUCGCGAGUGGUGAAGGCGAGGUUGCCGACAUAUAUCGUUGUGCUCGUUGCUAGCGCAUUCUCCCAGUCGGUCUGAGCAGAUCCAGGGGCAAGCACAGCGGGGUGGUGUACUUGAUGCGGGCUGUUGUAGGGUCUAAGGACACGGCCGUCCACAUAGGACGUACAUCCCUCCUUGCCUCCGACCCCAAUUCGCGAGGUGCUGCACGGGCGUACCGGAGAUGCAUUAGCAUAUGGGUUCAAUGCUCAGAUCACAGCAGCUGGGACUGUGACACAGUGAAGGCCCCUCUGAUUGCGCUGGCAAUGUCCCGAACCCUGGGUUACAUUGAUUUCCCAUAAAUAGUUAUGAUUGCUCCUGCGUGUGAGUUAAUGAGCUCCCCCAAGGACAUGUUGGGAGGGGACACGCCGGCUAGGAGUUUGACGACGGCGCCAACUCCCGGACCCGCCACGUAAUGAGACGUAAACGCACCUCGCUGCCUUCGAAGCGCCUAUCUCUAUAUUGUGUGAUUGCCGGAUUCAAGACCUGCAUCGUGCUUAAAGUCAGCGGCUGACAGGAAAAGGAGCAUAGAUGUAGAUAGCAGAUUCAGUCAGCUGACCUUAAGCAGCUUCGACAUUUACUGUAUCAAGAUGUUAGCCUCAUACAGUUAUGCUGAGCGGCGCAGUCUGCGUCUCCUACAGCCAAUUUGAAGUCGACUUACUCGGGCUAAAGUGUUCAAAACUGUAUAAUUUAUUGUACAUGUGUCGAUAUGUACAAGGGUGCCCGUAAAUUCCGCAAACUUCCAAUUGUUGAGAAACUACUUCGUACGUGCAUAAUGCAACGGCUUCAACCGGCUGGCUCUGGGCAUCUGACGUCCUGAACCUCCGAUUAUAUAAAUCUUCAAAGCUCUGAAGGUCUUCCUCUGUCCACCUGAUUACUGCAAAUUCCAGCAGGGUUUUAGAAUCUCUAAGCUCUCCGUAACUACCCCGGGACCCGGUACGUAGUCCUCGGCACGGCCGAGCAGCAUGCUGUCCAUCUCCAAUCGGCUUCGGAGGUCCCGAGUAUUGAGUAUCCUAAGCAAGAGGGGUCCGGAAGAAGAGUUAGCUUCCCGACGUUUGCUGCGACAAUACUUCGGCAGCCGUCCCUAGCCUAGUCUCUCGCACCACUUCGAAUCUCCCUCCUCCGUCUGCACAAGAGCGGCAACUCGCAUAUCCAGCACAUACAGGGCCCGCAAGGGCAGUUAAGACCCGCAGGCGGCCCAUGCACGGACAGCAUUUGGCCCACGACCAGAGGUAGCACUGCACCCUCCGGAAUGAGGGCAGGGCAAUGGGGCCCUAUACCGUAUAUUACAUAUACAGUGCGACAUUUAAACACACUUCCUGGCGUCAACUGUGACAUUAAAAAACUUUUCAAUAGGCCCCUGGUAAUCUGAUGGUCGGAGGAUCACCGAAAAUCCUGGAGGUGGUCCCAUAUGAAGCCCGAAACCUGACUGCCCCCAAAAGCCGAAGGAGCGCCAUAACCGCAUGCCGUACAAAAAACGGCAAUCUCCUCUCCGACCUCUCCUCUCCGACUUUAUUGUGACACGGCCAUCACACUUAUUAACCGUCAUGAACACCCCCCGGGGGGUCUAUAUCGGGGUCCACUUGCCCUCCCAAGAAGCUGAAGUCCGAAGUCACACAGCAGGCUACAUCAGGCCAAAUGUCACCGUCGAAGGAAGGCGUCAGGGUGGGUGGAUGCAAGGCGUAUGGCACCUCCUCCCCCGGGGCCCACCAAGCUCCGCCGUUUCGCACAACAAAAAACCCCACACGCCUGCCCCCACCGCCAAAAGAGUCAAUCGCGGUUGCCGGGCCCCAAGGCCCCCCAAGGCCAUGACCCUCAUCAAAGUACAUCUUAGCGGUCGCAAGGGCCCCCACAGAGCAGAAAGGGACACAUGGGCGCAACCAGGCGCCGCAAGGCUGAAAAUGCUGUUGAUGCCGGUGAUGAUGGUGAUGAUGAUGAUGUCAACGCCGAUGAGCUGCUCUUACCGGGCUCCAGCCUCUCCACUCCCCGUGCAAGGGGCAGGAACAGGCGGCGCAGGCAGCCGCGGCUGACUGGCGGCUCGGCAUUCAGAAACCAGCCCUGCAAAGUUGGUGACACCACAGAGCCCCAACGGCCUGAAGUUGACCGGGAGUGAGGUGAGGGCAGUGAGGGGCAGCAGUUUCCGGGAUGGUGCAGGGUUCAGCCGGAGGGCAACACAUCUCAAGCAGAGAUCAAUAGGAUAGGAGGCAGAGAGGAUGGCGGCAUGCAGAGGGCAGCAUGGCACUUAUGGUGUGCGGACCGCGUGCAUGCAAAAGUGUGAAGCAGGCUGGGAGAUGCGGCAGCUAUGACAUGCACGGCACGGUCUACAGCACACGCAGGCCACACACACAAGCAUGCACACACAUGCAGGCACACACAGGCACACACGGGGGUCGCCACCACAUGUCCCUACAACAGGAAUGUCCACAGCAAAAAAGCACAUUGUGCCGCGGCGUGCUUGCUUGCUUCCUUUUUCACCAACACGAGACAUAGCUUGAAAGUAUAAUCCAAGAUACAAGAUAACAACGGCCACAGCAACAACAAAGAAUGACAAUCACAGGCUCUGACUUCAAAACAGAAGGGCAGCAGCAGCCCGACCUACCGCGAUAUCGCUGCCAGGGGGAGGUGUCGUGGACCACCGUGGGCAGGGGAAAUGGCGACCGGCGGGCCCCAUGCAGCCCCCCACCGCCAUCACCGUCGUCCAGAUGGCCACCUCCUCUCCCCGCCGGCACCGCCUCCCCAACGGAAGGGGGGAAAGCUCCCUGGGCCGCUUGGCUUCCUGGAUCCACCCUUGAUGAUACUGCCAACCCUGUCAUCAGCAUCACCUCCGGCUCUAGCAUUGCGGUCGGCGGCAGCCCUCCCACUUUACCUACCGCCACCGGCCCCCUUCCCUCCUCCUCCUCCUCAGCCUCGCCAGGUACCGCUGCCCCCUCAGUGCCGCCCGCGAGCACCACCGAAUCGCAGUAGCCCCAAUGGCGACCCCAACCCGCAGUAGCCCCGGCGGCAGGUGGUGGGUGCAGGAGGCGGCAGGUGGGCGGAGGUGGACCGCCGCUGCACAGGGGGGAUGCAUGUGGCAGGCUGCAUCCCCUGGACCGUACGACAGGGCACCCAAAGCCGUGAGCCUGUGGUGUGUUGAAAAGGAUUCCAUUCAGGUCUUGCUUGUGCGUGCGUGUGUGUGUAUUGAGUUCUGUGAACAUUACAAGUAUCUGACCGGGCCCGACACUGGCCAGGGACUGCUGCCCAGCCCCAACAUGUGUGUGCAUGCACGUGUGUAUGCAUAUAUGUGUGUGUGCAUGUGUGUGUGCAUGUGUGUGUCUGGGGCAGCAAAACUGCACUGACAUAUCCCCGUCAGUGUGGUCCACUCGGUGGUGUCAUACAUGGAUGCAGCCAGGGUGGUGGACCGCAUCCACUUAUGGGCUGAAACGGCCAUGAGGGAAUCGGUGGACAAAUGCCAGACUAAAGCUCUGCCUGGUUUGGGUUGACACUACUGUAAUUAGCAAUUUCAGGUCCUGGGUUCGAUUCCCGGGAAGACUCCCGGAUUAGUCGGGAGCGUUAGAUUAUGGCUAACCGCUGAGAUGUGGAGUUGAGGUCACAGUUGAUGGACCAGAUUCGCACGCUGGAUCGGUGGCGAUUGCCAAACCCUCCGUCUCUUCGGGUGUUCGGGUGAAUGGAUGAGGGGGAGUCCUGAAGGCUGGAUCCGCUGCAUUGGACUUACAGUUCGUAUGGUGAAGUACAGUGUGAUGGUGGUGGAUGGUGCUAUAAGGUGAUAAAGUCGUAGAACUGUCAAUGUGAUAAAGCGGCCCAGAAGCCUUCCAC